This 253-nucleotide ribosomal RNA is filed under the name uncultured bacterium. Its description in RNAcentral is "partial 16S ribosomal RNA". It matches the Rfam family "Bacterial small subunit ribosomal RNA", at positions 524 to 776 of the family's 1533-position model. The record is from RNAcentral.
UACGAAGGGGACUAGCGUUGUUCGGAAUCACUGGGCGUAAAGCGCACGUAGGCGGAUGUGUCAGUCAGGGGUGAAAUCCCGGGGCUCAACCUCGGAACUGCCUUUGAUACAGCACGUCUCGAGUCCGGAAGAGGUGGGUGGAAUUCCUAGUGUAGAGGUGAAAUUCGUAGAUAUUAGGAAGAACCCCGGUGGCGAAGGCGGCCCACUGGUCCGGUACUGACGCUGAGGUGCGAAAGCGUGGGGAGCAAACAGG